AGCAAGGUGUAAUGGCGGACGUUAAUGACGUUGUGGAAGCAACUCAUUUAUCUUCUGAAAAUAUUGACGGAAGAGCUCUUUUGCAUUGAGCUUUACAGCACAUAGCCAUCAGAUGGAAAUUUAUCAAGGUUGUACACCUGGUUAUCCGCCUCUCCCUCAAGGCUGGGAGAUGAAAGUGGACCCUACUUCUGGAAAACCAUUCUUCAUCGAUCAUAAGACGCGGACAACAUCUUGGGAAGAUCCAAGAGUAAGGCAGAAACAUUAUCAGGGACCUGGCGGAUCCUUGGGAAACCAGAAUCCAUCCCAAACAUUCCAGUUGCCGUCAGGUCAGCAAUACUCUACACCAGUACCAUCGUCUCCAGGUCAACUCUACCAAAUGCCUCCUCCUAUUUCAGGGCAAGUUUCUCAAAGCCCAGUGUCAAACCCUGGUCAACCUUUUCCAGUGUUACCUGACCAGCCAAACCAAGUGCCUCCUGGUCAUUUAAAUCACAUGUUACCUGGUCAAUCCAGUCAGAUAUUAUCAAAUCAACAAAACCAAGCUCCAGCUCCAUCAAGCCAAAUGCCACUUCCUCAACCAAGCCAACUGCCAUCUAGUCAGCCAAGUCAAAUGGUUUUCAGUCAGCCAAAUCUAAUGCCAUCUAGUCACCCAAACCAAAUGCCUUCUGGUCAGUCAAACCAAACGCCACAUGGUCACCCAAGCCAAAUGCCACAUGGUCAGCCAAACCAAAUGUCAUCUAGUCAAGUAAACCGAGUGAUCCCCGGUCAACCAAAUCAGAUGGCUCCUGGAGGACCGCUUUAUUCAGUACCAGGACCAAGUCCUUCCCAACCUUAUGAGGCACAGCCAAUGAUUCAAGGCCAACCACAGCAGACUCAGAGAUCAGAUUCUAGUCAACCAUAUCAGAUACCAAUGUCUGCUGCUGGUCCAACUUAUGAAAUUUCAUCCCAGAACACCAGUCAGGCAUAUCAAUUCCCUGCUGUUAAUUCUGUGUCGGCCUUAGGUGGGUCAGCAAAACCUGGUGUUCUUCGUCAAUCAAGUCAACAAUAUCAAGCAACACCAUAUCCAGGUCAACCAUAUCAGAUGCCUGCUUCAAAUCCUGAUCAGUUUUAUCAACCUCAGUCUUUGAAUCCAAGCCAACUUUACCCUGGUCAGCCUGUGCAGAGUCCCUUGCCUCCCUCGCGAACAAGCCAAGCAUACCAAACUCCAACAUCAGCUCCUGGUCAACCAUACCAGGUACGACCAUAUCAACCUUCACCUCAGAAUCAAGGCCAGGGUCCACCACAACCUAAUGCUCAGACAAUGCAGGCAACAGGACCAGGAGGGUAUCAAGCCUAUCAGACACCAGGACAGGUUCCUAAUCAAGUGCAGCCUUCAGGAAAGCCACCAAUACCAUCUGUAGUGGGUGCUGCUACUUCACAGCUCCAGCAACAGCAGCAAGUAAUGCCACCCUCCCCUGUACAACCAAAGUCACCUGGAGCACAAUCCUAUCAUCAUCAUCAUCAUCCAUACCAAAAUAAUUAUAAUUACUCCUCACCUCAUACACAAAGUAUCCCAGGAAAUAGAACUGUGAAACAAGAAAAUCAAGGCUAUGGCCCAACUCCUGUGGGACAACCACUACAAAUGAUAGAUGGAAGAACUCAGUCCUAUGCUCAAACUGCUCCAUCCCAGGCUACCCAAUGGGCUCCUCCAUUUGCAAAUCCUGCCCCAACCUCUGUGUAUGGUCACACAUCUCCUUACCCAGGUGCUCCUCCAGUGUCAUAUGCAACUGAACAGUCAAUGAUGCGGCAGUCACAACCCCAACAUCCACCACCUGGUUACCCUCCUAAUUCUUAUGCAGUUGGUUCAGGAUACACAAACCUGGGUCAACAACCAGGCUUCCCAGGCAGACAACCCUAUGCACAGUCAGCUCCUCAGAUGUAUGGCUCAGGUUAUCACCAGCCUGAACCUCGGAGUCAAUACACAACACGAAGGUCACCUUUAUCAGAUGCUAAAAUUAAUUCAAUCGAUACACUGCUUUGUCAUGCAGAGGAAUUGGAACCAAGAGUUUUAUCUUUUUCAGGAACCAGAGGUGACAGAGAGUUUAUUUAUCUUGAUGAACAACUAACAAAACUGAUUUUGGAUCUUGAUAAAGUACAGACAGAUGGAUUAGAAGAUGUACGAGUGGCUCGCAAGUCAGCCAUUCAAAGAAUACAAUUUUUAAUUGAUACUUUAGAGAAUAAAGGCUGAAGAAGCUCCAGAAGUCAUGUAAGCCUGUCAUCCAUUUAACAAGAAUUCAAUAAAAUUAUAUGUUAUUCUAGAAGCUGUGAAGUAGGUUUGACUAGUCAUAAAUCGUGAUUGCUCUCUGCUGUGUGAUAUCAAUAUUUUAGCAGCAUUUUUUUCCUUCUUUAUCUCUGUGGUUUUGACACCAAAUUACAGGAUUAAGCCAGGUAGGCAGCUUCUUCAUGGAAAUAUCCCACUUUGACUUAGUUAGAAUAAAAUGAGCUGUACAAGACAUCAGAGUAAGAGUAAAUUUUGGAUGUUUCUAUUAACAAGUUAGUUUUGCCCCUUGAAUAUUAGGUAUGUCAUUUAAAUCUAUUAGGGGCUGAUAAAGCAUACAGAUAUAUAUUGAAGAAACAUUUCUGCUAGGAAUCAGUUUUAAAAAUUAUUUUACAUUUUCUUAGAGGGAAGUAGCGAGCAUUAUUUUUUUAUUUCUUUUAUUAACUGUAACGAAGGAAACGACUAAAUGUAAGGAGUACUCCUGUUAGUUAAGUCACAAAAGUUUUAACUCUAGGUUUUAAUUACAGAUUUUUCUGACCUUUAUACUUUGGCUGAAUUUUUAAAGUGACAUUUUCACUGUACUGGCUCUCAAACUGAUACACUCUUCCAAUUUUUUGGGGGACACAAAUUUACCGUUGAGCUGCAGUUGAAUCCUAAUAAUGGUAAUGAGUUACAGGUUACUGUCAAGAUCAACAUGUGACUUUUCACAUGGAGAAUUGGAAGUAAGUAAAAAGCUUCUCCAAACUGUUCCUAGUACUUGAGGUUCAGUAGCAAUCUUGUCAUGUUUUAUUUUGGAGUUAACAUCUGGGCUGUGCAAACAAAAAACACAGCACUAGUAAUAGUGUCCAUACAAUCAGUAAAUUUCAAAGGUAUAGCAAAUAUUUUACUCUUGUCAAUAAACUGCCACAUAGAGUAA
Molecule: unclassified non-coding RNA, 3170 nt
Filed under: Pocillopora damicornis (cauliflower coral)
Lineage: Eukaryota; Metazoa; Cnidaria; Anthozoa; Scleractinia; Pocilloporidae
Description: trithorax group protein osa-like, transcript variant X1
Source: RNAcentral